UACGGAGGGUGCAAGCGUUAUCCGGAAUCAUUGGGUUUAAAGGGUCCGCAGGCGGGCUAAUAAGUCAGUGGUGAAAUCCCCCAGCUUAACUGAGGAACUGCCAUUGAUACUGCUAGUCUUGAAUUCGGUCGAAGUGGGCGGAAUGUGUCAUGUAGCGGUGAAAUGCAUAGAUAUGACACAGAACACCGAUAGCGAAGGCAGCUCACUGGGCCUGAAUUGACGCUCAGGGACGAAAGCGUGGGGAGCAAACAGG
Molecule: ribosomal RNA, 253 nt
Filed under: uncultured bacterium
Lineage: Bacteria
Description: partial 16S ribosomal RNA
Rfam family: Bacterial small subunit ribosomal RNA
Source: RNAcentral